UUCAAUACCAAAACAAUUUCUGUGUUCACUUAGGUUCCUGUUACAUACCCUCAGAAAUGGGAACAUCAUAUACAGAGUGUUGUGUUGCCGUGGCAAUGUAACACAGGGUUUGCCCAGCCUUGCUUAAGAACAUCUUUCCUAGAAAUGAAUGGAGAAUUUCUGUGAUACUCCCCUCCUUGCUUCUAAGAGGAAGUGCAGAAAUAAAUGGUAAGCCUACUGUCCCUAGCAAACCCAACCAGCUCUCCAGGUGACAUCAAGCUGUAGGAAAAUCUCAAGAAAGGCAGCACAUGUGGAACAGAAGAGGUGAAACUGAAAGCCUUUGAGAUGCCCCUAAUAUACUCCCCCAAAGAAUAAUUUCCUUCUCAAGCUGGCACAUUCUGCAAUCAUGUUAUUUUGAAUAUUUGUUCUCCAUUUCCUAGGUGUUGAC
RNAcentral lists this long non-coding RNA (427 nucleotides) under Anas platyrhynchos platyrhynchos (common mallard). RNAcentral describes it as "lncRNA (ENSAPLG00000024753.1)". The record is from RNAcentral. Lineage: Eukaryota; Metazoa; Chordata; Aves; Anseriformes; Anatidae.